This 449-nucleotide ribosomal RNA is filed under the name uncultured bacterium. Its description in RNAcentral is "bacterial SSU rRNA". It matches the Rfam family "Bacterial small subunit ribosomal RNA", at positions 355 to 796 of the family's 1533-position model. The record is from RNAcentral.
UGGGGAAUAUUGGACAAUGGGGGAAACCCUGAUCCAGCAAUGCCGCGUGGGUGAAGAAGGCCUGCGGGUUGUAAAGCCCUUUCGGUGAGGACAAAACGCGCCACAUUAAUACCGUGGUGUUUUGAUUUAACUCACUAAAGAAGCACCGGCUAACUCUGUGCCAGCAGCCGCGGUAAUACAGAGGGUGCAAGCGUUAAUCGGAAUUACUGGGCGUAAAGCGCACGUAGGCGGCUUGGUAAGUUGGAUGUGAAAUCCCCGGGCUUAACUUGGGAAUUGCAUUCAAGACUGCCUUGCUAGAGUGUGGAAGAGGGAAGCGGAAUUCCAGGUGUAGCGGUGAAAUGCGUAGAUAUCUGGAGGAACAUCAGUGGCGAAGGCGGCUUUCUGGUCCAACACUGACGCUGAGGUGCGAAAGCGUGGGGAGCAAACAGGAUUAGAUACCCCCGUAGUCC